UUGGAGGGCAAGUCUGGUGCCAGCAGCCGCGGUAAUUCCAGCUCCAAUAGCGUAUAUUAAAGUUGUUGCAGUUAAAAAGCUCGUAGUUGAAUUUCGAGACCGGUCUACUGGUCGUGCUUUUGUACGUACUGGUUUUAUUGGUUUCUCCUUUCUGACGAACUAUAAUGCCAUUAAUUUGGUGUUAUGGGGAAUCAGGACUGUUACUUUGAAAAAAUUAGAGUGUUUAAAGCAGGCUCACGCUUGAAUACAUUAGCAUGGAAUAACGGAAUAGGACGUUUGAUUCUAUUUUGUUGGUUUCUAGGAUCGACGUAAUGAUUAAUAGGGAUAGUUGGGGGCAUUAGUAUUCAAUUGUCAGAGGUGAAAUUCUUGGAUUUAUUGAAGACUAACUACUGCGAAAGCAUUUGCCAAGGAUGUUUUCAUUAAUCAAGAACGAAAGUUAGGGGAUCGAAGACGAUCAGAUACCGUCGUAGUCUUAACCAUAAACUAUGCCGACUAGGGAUCGGAUGAUGUUGAUUUUUUAAUGACUCAUUCGGCGCCUUACGGGAAAC
RNAcentral lists this ribosomal RNA (548 nucleotides) under uncultured Glomus. RNAcentral's name for it is "SSU rRNA". It matches the Rfam family "Eukaryotic small subunit ribosomal RNA", at positions 548 to 1098 of the family's 1831-position model. The record is from RNAcentral. Lineage: Eukaryota; Fungi; Glomeromycota; Glomeromycetes; Glomerales; Glomeraceae.